RNAcentral lists this transfer-messenger RNA (404 nucleotides) under Capnocytophaga granulosa. RNAcentral describes it as "Standard tmRNA". It matches the Rfam family "transfer-messenger RNA". From Rfam's summary of the family: Bacterial tmRNA, also known as 10Sa RNA or SsrA, is named for its dual tRNA and mRNA-like properties. Its role is to liberate the mRNA from a stalled ribosome. Lineage: Bacteria; Pseudomonadati; Bacteroidota; Flavobacteriia; Flavobacteriales; Flavobacteriaceae. The record is from RNAcentral.
GGGGUCGACUGGUUUUGACAGCAAGCCUAAGCAUGAUGUAAGCACGCCGAGCUAUGAGGCUAAUGCUCGUUAAUCUCUGUUUCAACACUUUAAAUGGCGAGAAUAACUACGCUCUUGCUGCCUAGUCUGAAUUAUAGUAAGAUUGCUGGCUAAGUCCCUACAAGGUAGGGAGGCGAGAUGUCUCUGAAAGCCCUUGUUGAUGGCUCAUCGCAAAAGAGAUACCAUUAAAAUCAACAUGGAAUCUUUGGGUGGCUUCUUCCCCUAGGUUCAGCUCUUACAGAAGCUAAGGGUGAUGUGGGGCGUUCCCGCUCAGCAUUACCACGAAAAACAAACGGGAACUAAGCGUGUAGAAAGCCUUGUGGUUACUUGUUUGGACGAGAGUUCGAAUCUCUCCGACUCCACUU